Molecule: transfer RNA, 56 nt
Filed under: Fukomys damarensis (Damara mole-rat)
Lineage: Eukaryota; Metazoa; Chordata; Mammalia; Rodentia; Bathyergidae
Rfam family: tRNA
About the family: Transfer RNA (tRNA) molecules are approximately 80 nucleotides in length.
Source: Rfam by way of RNAcentral
GGCUCAGUGGUAGGGUGCUUGUCUAAUGUGCUAGAGGCCCUGGGUUCAAUUCCCAG